RNAcentral lists this long non-coding RNA (453 nucleotides) under Mytilus galloprovincialis (Mediterranean mussel). The record is from RNAcentral. Lineage: Eukaryota; Metazoa; Mollusca; Bivalvia; Mytilida; Mytilidae.
GGUUGGGAUUGUGUUGUUUAGAGAUCAUCCAGGUUUUUGGUGGGGAUUGUGUUGUAUAGAGAUCAUCCAGGUUUUUGGUGGAGAUUGUGUUGUAUAGAGAUCAUCCAGGUUUUUGGUGUUGGUUGAUUAGAGUCCAGGUUUUGUAUUGUGUUGUAGAGAUCAUCCAGGUUUUGGUGGAGAUGGUGUUGUAUAGAGAUCAUCCAGGUUUUUGGUGGGGAUUGUGUUGUAUAGAGAUCAUCCAGGUUUUUGGUGGGGAUUGUGUUGUAUAGAGAUCAUCCAGGUUUUGGGUGGAGAUGGUGUUGUAUAGAGAUCAUCCAGGUUUUUGGUGGGGAUUGUGUUGUAUAGAGAUCAUCCAGGUUUUUGGUGGGGAUUGUGUUGUUUAGAGAUCAUCUAGGUUUUUGGUGGGGAUUGUGUUGUAUAGAGAUCAUCCAGGUUUUGGGUGGGGAUUGUGUU